RNAcentral lists this ribosomal RNA (206 nucleotides) under uncultured bacterium. RNAcentral describes it as "partial 16S ribosomal RNA". It matches the Rfam family "Bacterial small subunit ribosomal RNA", at positions 568 to 774 of the family's 1533-position model. The record is from RNAcentral.
CGCGUAGGCGGUUUGUUAAGUCAGCUGUGAAAGCCCCGGGCUCAACCUGGGAACUGCAGUUGAUACUGGCCGACUGGAGUGCGAGAGAGGGAGGUAGAAUUCCAUGUGUAGCGGUGAAAUGCGUAGAUAUAUGGAGGAAUACCGGUGGCGAAGGCGGCCUCCUGGCUCGACACUGACGCUGAGGUGCGAAAGCGUGGGAUCAAACA